GUCAAGUUAGUUUAAAUAAAAAUAUCAGCCUGUGGAUUUGAAGAUAAAACUAUAUUUUACUUGACU
Molecule: transfer RNA, 66 nt
Filed under: Babylonia borneensis
Lineage: Eukaryota; Metazoa; Mollusca; Gastropoda; Neogastropoda; Buccinidae
Description: tRNA-His
Rfam family: tRNA
About the family: Transfer RNA (tRNA) molecules are approximately 80 nucleotides in length. Their secondary structure includes four short double-helical elements and three loops (D, anti-codon, and T loops).
Source: RNAcentral